This 399-nucleotide ribosomal RNA is filed under the name uncultured bacterium. Its description in RNAcentral is "bacterial SSU rRNA". It matches the Rfam family "Bacterial small subunit ribosomal RNA", at positions 356 to 773 of the family's 1533-position model. The record is from RNAcentral.
GGGGAAUAUUGCACAAUGGGGGAAACCCUGAUGCAGCGACGCCGCGUGAGCGAUGAAGGAAUUCGUUUCGUAAAGCUCUGUCCAAGGGGAAGAUAAUGACAGUACCCUUGGAGGAAGCCCCGGCUAAAUACGUGCCAGCAGCCGCGGUAAUACGUAUGGGGCGAGCGUUGUCCGGAAUUAUUGGGCGUAAAGGGUACGUAGGCGGUUAGAUAAGUCAGAUGUAAAAGCGUGGGGCUCAACCCCAUAAAGCAUUUGAAACUGUGUAACUUGAGUAGUGGAGAGGAAAGUGGAAUUCCUAGUGUAGCGGUGAAAUGCGUAGAUAUUAGGAGGAAUACCAGUGGCGAAGGCGACUUUCUGGACACAAACUGACGCUGAGGUACGAAAGCAUGGGGAGCAAAC